GACGAACGCUGGCGGCGUGCUUAACACAUGCAAGUCAGGGGGCGGGGUAACCCGUCACCGGCGAACGGGUGCGGAACACGUGAGCGACCUGCCCUGGUGUGGGGGAUAGCCGGCCCAACGGCCGGGUAAUACCGCAUACGGCGCCCGCUUGGAAGCGGGAGGCGAAACUCGCAAGAGGCGCUAGGAGGGGCUCGCGGCCUAUCAGCUAGUUGGUGCGGUAACGGCGCACCAAGGCGAUGACGGGUAGCUGGUCUGAGAGGAUGGCCAGCCACAUUGGGACUGAGAGACGGCCCAGACUCCUACGGGAGGCAGCAGUGGGGAAUAUUGCGCAAUGGGCGAAAGCCUGACGCAGCGACGCCGCGUGGAGGAUGAGGCCCUUCGGGGUGUAAACUCCUGUUGCCCGGGACGAAUGCCCCCCAUCGGCGGGGUUGACGGUACCGGGUGAGGAAGCACCGGCUAACUCUGUG
RNAcentral lists this ribosomal RNA (467 nucleotides) under uncultured bacterium. RNAcentral's name for it is "partial 16S ribosomal RNA". It matches the Rfam family "Bacterial small subunit ribosomal RNA", at positions 28 to 507 of the family's 1533-position model. The record is from RNAcentral.